UAGGCGGUUUGUCGCGUCUGCUGUGAAAUCCGGAGGCUCAACCUCCGGCCUGCAGUGGGUACGGGCAGACUAGAGUGCGGUAGGGGAGAUUGGAAUUCCUGGUGUAGCGGUGGAAUGCGCAGAUAUCAGGAGGAACACCGAUGGCGAAGGCAGAUCUCUGGGCCGUAACUGACGCUGAGGAGCGAAAGGGUGGGGAGCAAACAGGCUUAGAUACCCUGGUAGUCCACCCCGUAAACGUUGGGAACUAGUUGUGGGGUCCAUUCCACGGAUUCCGUGACGCAGCUAACGCAUUAAGUUCCCCGCCUGGGGAGUACGGCCGCAAGGCUAAAACUCAAAGGAAUUGACGGGGACCCGCACAAGCGGCGGAGCAUGCGGAUUAAUUCGAUGCAACGCGAAGAACCUUACCAAGGCUUGACAUAUACGAGAACGGGCCAGAAAUGGUCAACUCUUUGGACACUCGUAAACAGGUGGUGCAUGGUUGUCGUCAGCUCGUGUCGUGAGAUGUUGGGUUAAGUCCCGCAACGAGCGCAACCCUCGUUCUAUGUUGCCAGCACGUAAUGGUGGGAACUCAUGGGAUACUGCCGGGGUCAACUCGGAGGAAGGUGGGGAUGACGUCAAAUCAUCAUGCCCCUUAUGUCUUGGGCUUCACGCAUGCUACAAUGGCCGGUACAAAGGGCUGCAAUACCGCGAGGUGGAGCGAAUCCCAAAAAGCCGGUCCCAGUUCGGAUUGAGGUCUGCAACUCGACCUCAUGAAGUCGGAGUCGCUAGUAAUCGCA
RNAcentral lists this ribosomal RNA (776 nucleotides) under Microbacterium sp. ST2-4. RNAcentral describes it as "bacterial SSU rRNA". It matches the Rfam family "Bacterial small subunit ribosomal RNA", at positions 572 to 1346 of the family's 1533-position model. Lineage: Bacteria; Bacillati; Actinomycetota; Actinomycetes; Micrococcales; Microbacteriaceae. The record is from RNAcentral.